AUGGCGUCGUCUGCUUCCGCUCGGCCGUCUGCGUCCUUCUACUGCUCGUCGAGCGCGAGCGCCGACGCGGCGGGGCGGGGCUUGCUCGGCCCGUUCGGGCUACUCGUGCUGGUCAACGACGGCCUAUCGGAGCAGACCGCUGUUUACUUCUACCUGGUCAAGGGUGCGGACGGGAAGCUCAACACUCACUUCUGCCAAGACGCCUUCAGGUCAUUGAAGGCGAACAUUCUCAUCAAGGCCGUUUACGGCAGCUUCGUCCCUGUACUUGAUGGAGAAAAUCUGCAAGCACGCCCCGAUGCUCCCCUCGGUCUGGGCACCCGAUGCCAGGCAGGCUGUGGAUGCCCCAGACCUCAAGGCCGGCCGUGCUACUCCAGCUGCUCCUGCCCCGGCCAUGCUCAACUUCGCUCCUGGUCAGUUGCCUUUUACUGA
This 429-nucleotide ribosomal RNA is filed under the name Triticum aestivum (bread wheat). RNAcentral describes it as "partial small subunit ribosomal RNA". The record is from RNAcentral. Lineage: Eukaryota; Viridiplantae; Streptophyta; Magnoliopsida; Poales; Poaceae.